This 385-nucleotide RNase P RNA is filed under the name Zoogloeaceae bacterium. RNAcentral describes it as "RNase P RNA component class A". It matches the Rfam family "Bacterial RNase P class A". From Rfam's summary of the family: Ribonuclease P (RNase P) is a ubiquitous endoribonuclease, found in archaea, bacteria and eukarya as well as chloroplasts and mitochondria. Its best characterised activity is the generation of mature 5'-ends of tRNAs by cleaving the 5'-leader elements of precursor-tRNAs. Lineage: Bacteria; Pseudomonadati; Pseudomonadota; Betaproteobacteria; Rhodocyclales; Zoogloeaceae. The record is from RNAcentral.
GGAGUCGGUCAGGCAGCCGCUGCCGGUCAUCGACCGGGGGAGGAAAGUCCGGGCUUCGCAGGGCAGGAUGCUGGCUAACGGCCAGGCGCUAUACGCCGCAAGGCCAAGGCGACGGAAAGUGCAACAGAGAAAAGACCGCCGAUGGCUUCCGUUCGCGGAAGAUCAGGCAAGGGUGAAACGGCGAGGUAAAAGCUCACCGCAGGACUGGCGACAGGACUGGCAUGGCAAACCCCAUCCGAAGCAAGACCAAAUAGGGAAGCAUACGGCGUUGCCCGCGCCGCUUCCGGGUAGGUUGCUGGAGCCGCGUGGCAACGCGCGGCCUAGAGGAAUGGCUGCCAGGGCGCAAGCGCCCCCACAGAACCCGGCUUAUCGACCGGCUCCCGCU